RNAcentral lists this ribosomal RNA (251 nucleotides) under uncultured prokaryote. Its description in RNAcentral is "partial 16S rRNA". It matches the Rfam family "Bacterial small subunit ribosomal RNA", at positions 525 to 775 of the family's 1533-position model. The record is from RNAcentral.
ACGUAGGUGGCAAGCGUUGUCCGGAUUUACUGGGCGUAAAGGAUGCGUAGGCGGAUAUAUAAGUCAGAUGUGAAAUACCCGGGCUCAACUUGGGUGCUGCAUUUGAAACUGUAUAUCUAGAGUGCGGGAGAGGUAAGUGGAAUUCCUAGUGUAGCGGUGAAAUGCGUAGAGAUUAGGAAGAACACCAGUGGCGAAGGCGACUUACUGGACCGUAACUGACGCUGAGGCAUGAAAGCGUGGGGAGCAAACAG